AUCUCUCGCCUCACUUCCUGUUACAACCUCACCACCACCACCAGCAGUUCCCUAGCAACGGGAGGCAGUGUAGUGUGAAGUGGUUCCCUGAGCCCCUGGACUCUCUUUCUCUGUAUCUCUGUUGAUACUUGAGCUGCUUCCCAAUAUUCUAUCCUAAGUGUGUACAAGGCAACUAAGAGGUCUCUUCUGACCACAUACUCUCUUACCACCACUCUCUGAGCAUGAACGGCAGAAACAGAUCCAGAUGACGACGAAGGGGGAAAUAGAAAGAGAGGAAGAGGUUGACUUGACGACAAUCCUUCUUUCAGAGCAUGUCGGGAACACAGAUCUCAAACAACGAACCAUCUUUGUAAUUAUUCUCUCACAAGCAGCUUGCUUGAAUGUGGUCUUCCUUUGCUGUCAUCUUUUCACGCUCACUUGAACUGUGACUCUUGACUAUGCUGGGCCACAAAAAGAGGACCCAGGGCAUUAAACUCACCAUGAUUAUGGCUUUCAAAGUAAAUUUCUCUAGUAUACCCAUCACCAAGCACCCUUCACCCCCCCCCCCCCCCUCCCCUCUCUCUCUUAUUUCCCCUUUGCCUGGUUCUUCUCAUUCACUUUUUCCAUUCCCUCCAACAGGAACAUUCCAUUCCAUAGCUUGCAGUCAGCGCUGCGUGACCUCGCCAUGGCGAUGUGAUAAUUUUUGCAUCUUGACAGUAAGUUUAGACGUGGGUGCGUCUGGCCGGAAAGCGUUUCCUUGCGCCUUCAUGUUAGACCAUACGAGCUUCCGAAACUUUUUGCACCAGUUUCUAGAACUCCUACGACCCAGUUUCAAAACAGAGCAACAUUUUAGCUGGCUUGUUGCGUAGCGCUCCUCUUGGCGUGUGACUUUGGGACAUGUAAAGCGUAGAGGAAUACAAUUCCUCAAAACAGGGAGUCUGGCCGUUAAUAACACCACUUACCUGAAGCGAGGGGAGUCCUUCAAACAUUCUUCGAAGUCCAGUUUGACUGUCAUCUUGUCGUUGAUAAAAUAAA
Molecule: long non-coding RNA, 1014 nt
Organism: Alosa sapidissima (American shad)
Lineage: Eukaryota; Metazoa; Chordata; Actinopteri; Clupeiformes; Clupeidae
Exons: 2
Source: RefSeq, a predicted model, not a curated record